RNAcentral lists this long non-coding RNA (340 nucleotides) under Capsicum annuum. Its description in RNAcentral is "long non-coding RNA (CANN_LNC019625)". The record is from RNAcentral. Lineage: Eukaryota; Viridiplantae; Streptophyta; Magnoliopsida; Solanales; Solanaceae.
CGAGUUUGUGUGUUGAGAGUGGGUGAUUGGAUUAGAUUUUGGAGGAGGCCUAUUGUUCCAGGUAUUUUAUCCAUCCAGUGUGAUAAAGAUAUUCCAUAUUGAGGCAGCUUUACUAAAGGGGUGGUAUGAGGAAAGAUAUAGCAAACUUUGUAGAUGAUUUCCUUCGUUGUCAGUAGGUAAAGGCUGAGCAUAUGAGACCUGUUGGUUUACUUCAGAGGUUACUCAUUCCUGAGUAGGAAUAGGAAUGGAUCACUAUGGAAUUUAUGACAGAUUUGCCUCCCACUUUGCAUGGUUUUAACAGUUUUUGGGUCAUCUGUAAGACCCCAUAUUUUUUAGCUAG